GAAAAGGUCUCCAAGUCCCCACCGGUCCGAGAAGCCCAGCUGGCUUCAUCCUUCAGUGGCACUCGCCUAGGGACUUUGCAGCACCUAGCCUGGGCAGUCCGGCAGCCCAGAGGGAGCUGGUCCCCUAAUCAAGCCCAGCAGGCGCCCGCCGGCCGGCGGCGCUGAGUGCCGGCCCGCGGGGCCGCGGAACCCUGGCCCACCCAGAACCUGCGCAGAGCCACAAGGGCCGUGCACAGCCCCGGCUCCCGCCCGCGCCUCCCACUCCACACCCCCCCCGCCAGCAGAGGGAGCCGGCUCCAGCCUCGGCCAGCCCCAGAGAGGGGGCCCCCACGGAGCAGCAGGGGGCCCCCACGGAGCAGCAGCGGGCCAAAGGGCUCCUCAAGCCGGCCAGAGCAGACGCCAAGGCCGAGGAAGCGCCCAGAGUGAGCAAGGGCUGCUAGCACGUUGUCAUCUCUCAAUGUCUCAGCAAACUAACACAGGAACAGAAAACCAAACACCGUAUGUUGUCACUCAUAAGUGGGAGUUGACGAUGGAGUCUGGCUCUGUCGCCCAGGCUCGAGGGCUCCAGUACAGUGGUGCAAUCUCAGCUCACUGUAAUAACUGCCUUCCGGGUUCAAGCGAUUCACCUGCCUCAGCCUCCCCAGUAGCUGAUAUCACAGUGCAGGCUUUGGACUAUCUGGUAAUAUCUUGACCUCUGGAGGGGAUGGGGACAAAGGCUGGUCAUGCGGGAAGUCUACCAAAAUUUGUGACUGAUCAUCAAUAGAAGCUCUGGACACCAAGGCCUGGAUGAUCUUCAUUAGUUGGUAGUAUUCCAUGGGUGUCAUCACACAUCAAUGAGAAAAGAAAAAUCAUUGUUUUGCAUAACUUCACUGGGAGAAACUAGAAGUUGUCCUCCACCGAGAAGACCACCAGAAGCUCAUGCUCGAAAACCUCUUGGGUCCCACCCUGUGCACUCUCUCCUUGAAUGAUUUUAAUUGGUAUCCUUUCACUAUAAUAAACUGUCACCAUGAGUCUGA
This 1016-nucleotide long non-coding RNA is filed under the name Homo sapiens (human). Its description in RNAcentral is "HSALNT0374407". The record is from RNAcentral. Lineage: Eukaryota; Metazoa; Chordata; Mammalia; Primates; Hominidae.